GAGCAAGGGCGUCUUCCAAAAAUGACGAACGCUUGCAUUGAAGGUUGGCGAUAUUUAGAAAAAGCGAUUCUCCGUGCCUUUCAGAUUUUAUUUUCGUUUUGAUUACGGCCUCGAACAAGUCGCUACAUU
Molecule: non-coding RNA, 129 nt
Organism: Nicotiana sylvestris (wood tobacco)
Lineage: Eukaryota; Viridiplantae; Streptophyta; Magnoliopsida; Solanales; Solanaceae
Source: Rfam